RNAcentral lists this ribosomal RNA (497 nucleotides) under uncultured bacterium. Its description in RNAcentral is "partial 16S ribosomal RNA". It matches the Rfam family "Bacterial small subunit ribosomal RNA", at positions 28 to 507 of the family's 1533-position model. The record is from RNAcentral.
GACGAACGCUGGCGGCGUGCCUAAUACAUGCAAGUUGAGCGCUGAAGGUUGGUACUUGUACCGACUGGAUGAGCAGCGAACGGGUGAGUAACGCGUGGGGAAUCUGCCUUUGAGCGGGGGACAACAUUUGGAAACGAAUGCUAAUACCGCAUAAAAACUUUAAACACAAGUUUUAAGUUUGAAAGAUGCAAUUGCAUCACUCAAAGAUGAUCCCGCGUUGUAUUAGCUAGUUGGUGAGGUAAAGGCUCACCAAGGCGAUGAUACAUAGCCGACCUGAGAGGGUGAUCGGACACAUUGGGACUGAGACACGGCCCAAACUCCUACGGGAGGCAGCAGUAGGGAAUCUUCGGCAAUGGACGAAAGUCUGACCGAGCAACGCCGCGUGAGUGAAGAAGGGUUUCGGAUCGUAAAACUCUGUUGGUAGAGAAGAACGUUGGUGAGAGUGGAAAGCUCAUCAAGUGACGGUAACUACCCAGAAAGGGACGGCUAACUACGUG